RNAcentral lists this ribosomal RNA (255 nucleotides) under uncultured bacterium. RNAcentral's name for it is "partial 16S ribosomal RNA". It matches the Rfam family "Bacterial small subunit ribosomal RNA", at positions 524 to 776 of the family's 1533-position model. The record is from RNAcentral.
UACGUAGGGUGCAAGCGUUGUCCGGAAUUAUUGGGCGUAAAGAGCUCGUAGGCGGUUUGUUGCGUCGGCUGUGAAAUCCCCGAGGCUCAACCUCGGGUCUGCAGUCGAUACGAGCAAACUAGAGUGUUGCAGGGGAGACUGGAAUUCCUGGUGUAGCGGUGAAAUGCGCAGAUAUCAGGAGGAACACCGGUGGCGAAGGCGGGUCUCUGGGCAACAACUGACGCUGAGGAACGAAAGCGUGGGGGAGCGAACAGG